GCUGCACUUGAGCGUAACGAUUACUUUAUAUAUACAUAUAUGUAUGUAUCCUCGUCCCCGAGACGUCGAGAUCACCUGUAGAAUCGAAGUUGCAAUAUCUGCUGUCUCUGACAGAGAGACCGACGCCUUCGCGCAUGGCGGAUAGCAGCGAUCCAUAACCUGCCUUAAACCCAGACGAACAUAUCGUGUAUAUAUACUUGCAUAUGUAUGUGGGAUAUUUCAACUGCGUAGGCCGACCAGGCAAAUUACUACGAUUCAAGUCUGUCCAAAAGAACAGAGAGUGAGAGAGAGAGAGAGAGAGA
This is a long non-coding RNA of Neodiprion fabricii, 302 nucleotides long. RefSeq lists it as uncharacterized. NCBI's taxonomy places the organism in Eukaryota, Metazoa, Arthropoda, Insecta, Hymenoptera, Diprionidae. The transcript is spliced from 2 exons. The record is from RefSeq and is a predicted model, not a curated record.